GAUGAACGCUAGCUACAGGCUUAACACAUGCAAGUCGCGGGGCAGCAUGGGGGUUGCUUGCAAUCCCUGAUGGCGACCGGCGCACGGGUGAGUAACGCGUAUCCAACCUGCCCUUCACCACGGGAUAACCCGGCGAAAGUCGGACUAAUACCGUAUGUUGUCCAUUGACGGCAUCCGAUUUGGACGAAAGGCUUGGCGGUGAGGGAUGGGGAUGCGUCCGAUUAGCUUGACGGCGGGGUAACGGCCCACCGUGGCGACGAUCGGUAGGGGUUCUGAGAGGAAGGUCCCCCACACUGGAACUGAGACACGGUCCAGACUCCUACGGGAGGCAGCAGUGAGGAAUAUUGGUCAAUGGGCGGAAGCCUGAACCAGCCAAGUAGCGUGCAGGAUGACGGCCCUAUGGGUUGUAAACUGCUUUUAUGCGGGGAUAAAGGGGCCCACGUGUGGAGUUUUUGCAGGUACC
RNAcentral lists this ribosomal RNA (463 nucleotides) under Prevotella sp. oral taxon 317. Its description in RNAcentral is "bacterial SSU rRNA". It matches the Rfam family "Bacterial small subunit ribosomal RNA", at positions 28 to 479 of the family's 1533-position model. The record is from RNAcentral. Lineage: Bacteria; Pseudomonadati; Bacteroidota; Bacteroidia; Bacteroidales; Prevotellaceae.